UUCCGUAGGUGAACCUGCGGAAGGAUCAUUAUUGAAAUGAAAUCUCUAGCAAGGGGCUGUCGCUGGGCACUAGCCAUGUGCACGCCUUUUGUCUAUUUCUUCUUCUUCUCCCUGUGCACCAUUUGUAGACUUUGCUUGUCUACGUAUCACAUAACCUUAUGAAUGCAUCGUUUGUAAUAUUAUAUAUGUAAUAUUAUACAACUUUCAACAAUGGAUCUCUUGGCUCUCGCAUCGAUGAAGAACGCAGCGAAAUGCGAUAAGUAAUGUGAAUUGCAGAAUUCAGUGAAUCAUCGAAUCUUUGAACGCAUCUUGCGCUCUUUGGUAUUCCGAAGAGCAUGCCUGUUUGAGUGUCAUUAAUCUCUAAAAACACUUUGUUUUUGAAUACUGGGAGUCAUUGCUGGCGGCUGUUAAAGCUUCAGCUCUCCUUAAAUUCCUUGAGGACGAAAUGUUGGUGUGUGAUAAUUGUCUAUGCCAAACAAGUAGUCCCUUGCUACUUUUUUUUAAUGAUUGACCUCAAAUCAAGCAAGACUACCCGCUGAACUUAAGCAUAUCAAUAAGCGGAGG
RNAcentral lists this unclassified non-coding RNA (564 nucleotides) under Amanita javanica. RNAcentral's name for it is "partial contains ITS1, 5.8S rRNA and ITS2". The stretch from base 200 to 353 matches the Rfam family "5.8S ribosomal RNA". The record is from RNAcentral. Lineage: Eukaryota; Fungi; Basidiomycota; Agaricomycetes; Agaricales; Amanitaceae.